GUAGAGAUCUGGAGGAAUACCGGUGGCGAAGUCGUCCCCGUGGACAAAGACUGACGCUCAGGUGCGAGAGCGUGGUGAGCAAACAGGAUCAGAUACCCUGGUAGUACACGCCGUAACUGAUGUCGACUGAGAGGUUGUGCCCGUGAGGCGUGGCCUCCGGAGCUAACGCGUUAAGUCGACCGCCUGGGGAGUACGGCCGCAAGGUUAAAACUCAAAUGAAUUGACGGGGGCCCGCACAAGCGGUGGAGCAUGUGGUUUAAUUCGAUGCAACGCGAAGAACCUUACCUACUCUUGACAUCCAGAGAACUUAGCAGAGAUGGUUUGGUGCCUUCGGGAACUCUGAGACAGGUGCUGCAUGGCUGUCGUCAGCUCGUGUUGUGAAAUGUUGGGUUAAGUCCCGCAACGAGCGCAACCCUUCUCCUCAGUUGCCAGCGGUCCGGCCGGGAACUCAAAGGAGACUGCCAGUGAUAAACUGGAGGAAGGUGGGGAUGACGUCAAGUCAUCAUGGCCCUUACGAGUAGGGCUACACACGUGCUACAAUGGCGCAUACAAAGAGAAGCGACCUCGCGAGAGCAAGCGGACCUCAUAAAGUGCGUCGUAGUCCGGAUUGGAGUCUGCAACUCGACUCCAUGAAGUCGGAAUCGCUAGUAAUCGUAGAUCAGAAUGCUACGGUGAAUACGUUCCCGGGCCUUGUACACACCGCCCGUCACACCAUGGGAGUGGGUUGCAAAAGAAGUAGGUAGCUUAACCUUCGGGAGGGCGC
RNAcentral lists this ribosomal RNA (763 nucleotides) under Enterobacter sp. RNAcentral's name for it is "bacterial SSU rRNA". It matches the Rfam family "Bacterial small subunit ribosomal RNA", at positions 690 to 1453 of the family's 1533-position model. The record is from RNAcentral. Lineage: Bacteria; Pseudomonadati; Pseudomonadota; Gammaproteobacteria; Enterobacterales; Enterobacteriaceae.